ACGGGAGGCAGCAGUGGGGAAUAUUGCACAAUGGGGGAAACCCUGAUGCAGCGACGCCGCGUGAGUGAAGAAGUAUUUCGGUAUGUAAAGCUCUAUCAGCAAGGAAGAAAAUGACGGUACUUGACUAAGAAGCUCCGGCUAAAUACGUGCCAGCAGCCGCGGUAAUACGUAUGGAGCAAGCGUUAUCCGGAUUUACUGGGUGUAAAGGGAGCGUAGACGGCAAAGCAAGUCUGAAGUGAAAUCCCGGGGCUCAGCCCCGGAACUGCUUUGGAAACUGUUUAGCUAGAGUGCAGGAGAGGUAAGCGGAAUUCCUAGUGUAGCGGUGAAAUGCGUAGAUAUUAGGAGGAACACCAGUGGCGAAGGCGGCUUACUGGACUGUAACUGACGUUGAGGCUCGAAAGCGUGGGGAGCAAACAGGAUUAGAUACCCUGGUA
This 434-nucleotide ribosomal RNA is filed under the name uncultured Lachnospiraceae bacterium. RNAcentral's name for it is "partial 16S ribosomal RNA". It matches the Rfam family "Bacterial small subunit ribosomal RNA", at positions 341 to 792 of the family's 1533-position model. The record is from RNAcentral. Lineage: Bacteria; Bacillati; Bacillota; Clostridia; Lachnospirales; Lachnospiraceae.